This 476-nucleotide ribosomal RNA is filed under the name uncultured bacterium. Its description in RNAcentral is "bacterial SSU rRNA". It matches the Rfam family "Bacterial small subunit ribosomal RNA", at positions 28 to 507 of the family's 1533-position model. The record is from RNAcentral.
GACUAACGCUGGCGGCGUGCCUAACACAUGCAAGUCGAACGAUUCUUUGAUUUAUAGCAAUAUUUAUUAAAGAGGAGUGGCGAACGGGUGAGUAACACGUAGAUAAUCUGCCUUUCAGACGGGGACAACUCAGGGAAACUUGUGCUAAUACCCGAUGAGACCACAAGAAGGGAUUUUUGUGGCCAAAGGCGGGCAGCAAUGCUCGUGCUGAAAGAUGAGUCUGCGUCCUAUCAGCUAGUUGGUGGGGUAAAUGCCUACCAAGGCUAAGACGGGUAGCCGGCCUGAGAGGGUGAACGGCCACACUGGGACUGAGAGACGGUCAAACUCCUACGGGAGCAGCAGUGGGGAAUAUUGGGCAAUGGGCGAAGCCUGACCCAGCAACGCCGCGUGAGGGAGAAGGUUUUCGGAUUGUAAACCUCUGUUCUUGGGGAAGAGAGGAAGACGGUACCCAAGGAGGAAGCCCCGGUAACUACGUG